AUACGGAGGGUCCAAGCGUUAUCCGGAAUCAUUGGGUUUAAAGGGUCCGCAGGCGGUCAAUUAAGUCAGAGGUGAAAGCCCAUCGCUCAACGAUGGAACUGCCUUUGAUACUGGUUGACUUGAGUUAUACGGAAGUAGAUAGAAUAAGUAGUGUAGCGGUGAAAUGCAUAGACAUUACUUAGAAUACCGAUUGCGAAGGCAGUCUACUACGUAUAUACUGACGCUGAGGGACGAAAGCGUGGGGAGCGAACAGGAUUAGAAACCCUAGUAGUCC
Molecule: ribosomal RNA, 274 nt
Filed under: uncultured bacterium
Lineage: Bacteria
Description: partial 16S ribosomal RNA
Rfam family: Bacterial small subunit ribosomal RNA
Source: RNAcentral